RNAcentral lists this ribosomal RNA (758 nucleotides) under uncultured bacterium. RNAcentral's name for it is "bacterial SSU rRNA". It matches the Rfam family "Bacterial small subunit ribosomal RNA", at positions 33 to 773 of the family's 1533-position model. The record is from RNAcentral.
ACGCUGGCGGCGUGCCUAAUCCAUGCAAGUCGAACGCACAGCGAAAGGUGCUUGCACCUUUCAAGUGAGUGGCGAACGGGUGAGUAACACGUGGACAACCUGCCUCAAGGCUGGGGAUAACAUUUGGAAACAGAUGCUAAUACCGAAUAAAACUUAGUGUCGCAUGACACAAAGUUAAAAGGCGCUUCGGCGUCACCUAGAGAUGGAUCCGCGGUGCAUUAGUUAGUUGGUGGGGUAAAGGCCUACCAAGACAAUGAUGCAUAGCCGAGUUGAGAGACUGAUCGGCCACAUUGGGACUGAGACACGGCCCAAACUCCUACGGGAGGCUGCAGUAGGGAAUCUUCCACAAUGGGCGAAAGCCUGAUGGAGCAACGCCGCGUGUGUGAUGAAGGCUUUCGGGUCGUAAAGCACUGUUGUAUGGGAAGAACAGCUAGAAUAGGAAAUGAUUUUAGUUUGACGGUACCAUACCAGAAAGGGACGGCUAAAUACGUGCCAGCAGCCGCGGUAAUACGUAUGUCCCGAGCGUUAUCCGGAUUUAUUGGGCGUAAAGCGAGCGCAGACGGUUUAUUAAGUCUGAUGUGAAAGCCCGGAGCUCAACUCCGGAAUGGCAUUGGAAACUGGUUAACUUGAGUGCAGUAGAGGUAAGUGGAACUCCAUGUGUAGCGGUGGAAUGCGUAGAUAUAUGGAAGAACACCAGUGGCGAAGGCGGCUUACUGGACUGCAACUGACGUUGAGGCUCGAAAGUGUGGGUAGCAAAC